AGCCUGUUACGGUUCAUUAAAGAGAUCAUUCUUUUUCUAAAUGCUCAAUCGACACUUCCCAGGUAGUCAAAUGCUCGAUAGGCGAGGGAGGUGACGGAGGAGGCGGCACAGGCACGGGUGCCGCUAACGAUUGUUGUGGCCGGGAGAUCGGUUUGCAGACAAAUAUCUCGCUUUUCCGAGGCGUAGGCGGCAGUUCCAGUGUGAGAGCGUGCCAGCUGAAAGUCUCAUUUUCCUAAAACCCAGACAAACGGCUAAUAACACCUUCGCGAACGAACUCAAAUAAAGACAAACAAGAGUCGCUUCUAGCUUGAUCGCCGCUCCAACAUGUAGAAACGUUUAAGCAUUCCUUCAGGAUUACAGGAUCUACUCAUGGAAUGUCUGCUCACAAACUACAAUUCUACGGUCGCUUUAUCGUUUCCUCUUUGACGGGGAAAUUUGGAGCGCGCAAUAAGCCAAUCUGUCUACGGCAAAGGCCGGAAAAAAAGGUACCACCAGCGGCGAUAAAUCGGGGUAGAGAUUCUGUAUCUGACACCGACCACCUGCUGAUUCUGCGAGCUCGUCCGGAGAUCCAGGACCAGGGUGGUGCGCUCGCGCGGAUUGCAGGUCACCGGCAAAUCCUCCUGGGCCGG
Molecule: long non-coding RNA, 629 nt
Organism: Temnothorax curvispinosus
Lineage: Eukaryota; Metazoa; Arthropoda; Insecta; Hymenoptera; Formicidae
Exons: 3
Source: RefSeq, a predicted model, not a curated record